CCUACGGGUGGCAGCAGUGAGGAAUAUUGGUCAAUGGGCGCGAGCCUGAACCAGCCAAGUAGCGUGAAGGAUGACUGCCCUACGGGUUGUAAACUUCUUUUAUCAAGAAAUAAAGUGAGGCACGUGUGCCUUUUUGUAUGUACUUUAUGAAUAAGGAUCGGCUAACUCCGUGCCAGCAGCCGCGGUAAUACGGAGGAUCCGAGCGUUAUCCGGAUUUAGUGGGUUUAAAGGGAGCGUAGAUGGGUUGUUAAGUCAGUUGUGAAAGUUUGCGGUUCAACCGUAAAAUUGCAAUGGAUACUGGCGGCCUUGAGUACAGUUGAGGUAGGCGGAAUUCGUGGUGUAGCGGUGAAAUGCUUAGAUAUCACGAAGAACUCCGAUUGCGAAGGCAGCUUACUAAGCUGCCACUGACAUUGAUGAUCGAAAGUGUGGGUAUCAAACAGGAUUAGAUACCCGAGUAGUC
RNAcentral lists this ribosomal RNA (460 nucleotides) under uncultured bacterium. RNAcentral's name for it is "partial 16S ribosomal RNA". It matches the Rfam family "Bacterial small subunit ribosomal RNA", at positions 338 to 795 of the family's 1533-position model. The record is from RNAcentral.